RNAcentral lists this ribosomal RNA (774 nucleotides) under uncultured Neocallimastigales. Its description in RNAcentral is "partial large subunit ribosomal RNA". It matches the Rfam family "Eukaryotic large subunit ribosomal RNA", at positions 22 to 643 of the family's 3401-position model. Lineage: Eukaryota; Fungi; Neocallimastigomycota; Neocallimastigomycetes; Neocallimastigales. The record is from RNAcentral.
CAUAGCGACUAUCGUGGCAUAUCAAUAAGCGGAGGAAAAGAAACUAACAAGGAUUCCCUUAGUAACGGCGAGUGAAGCGGGAAGAGCUCAAAUUUGAAAUCUUCAAGGUUCUACCUUGACGAAUUGUAGUUUAUAGAAGUGUUUUCUGUUAGUAGAGUGGCAAAAGUUCUUUGGAAUAGGACAUCAUAGAGGGUGAGAAUCCCGUAUUUGGUCAUUCUUUCUAGCUUUGUGAUACACUUUCAACGAGUCGGAUUGUUUGGGAAUGCAGUCCAAAAUGGGUGGUAAAUUUCAUCUAAAGCUAAAUAUUGGCGAGAGACCGAUAGCGAACAAGUACCGUGAGGGAAAGAUGAAAAGAACUUUGAAAAGAGAGUUAAACAGUACGUGAAAUUGUCAAAAGGGAAGCGUUUGACACCAGUGUUGUUUUUCCGAAAAUCAAUUACGAAUGUUUUAUUUUUGAGAAGUUAUGACUUCAUCGGCUUGCUUCUUCUUUACUGAAACUUUCUUAAUGCACUUUUCGGUUAACAAGUCAACAUCAAUUUCUUUUGUUGUAAAAGGGUAUGAGGAAGGUGGCUUUCUUUUCGGAGAAAGUGUUUAUAGCCUUGUACCUCUGCAAUCGGAGAGAUUGAGGUCUGCAGCGUAGAUCCUUCGGGGUUAGAUACAUUUGUGCUAAGUUAUAGCUUUUCAUAGACAACUUGUUGACUAUGUUUAGUCUUGUAGCUUACUCGCUUAUGCUAUUUUACCUACGCUUAGGAUGUUGAUAUGCAUGACUGAUAU